UGAGGGAAUAUACCACUCUGGUUUGAAACCUGCUGUUCCCCAAGCUGAGUGAUAGAGGAAAAUUGGUUGGACUGCCCCAAGACCUGAGUCUCCCCACCCAUGUGCAAGCACCGAGUGCUCUUCCAGUACAUAGAGACUCCCUUGUACAUCUAGACAAAUCCAGACCUGAUGAAGAAGCAGCGAUGUAAUGUGAGAGUAUGUAAGAAGCAGAUUUGCACAGCAGUCCAAUACAGCCUGUGUAAAUCACUCCAUCCAAAUCAGCAGAGCUAUACUGAUUUACACCAGCUGAGGCACCAGCUGAAGACAGUCAUAAAUUUUGUGGUGAUGUUUGACUUCAGACGUCCUCCUUUUUCAAGGAUAUGUGUGAUGAGAUCUCUCAUGUAUCUCAUGGGCAAGUGUGUUGUGCCUUUCUUUUUGAGAAGCUGUGUGGGUUUGUGCUACAUGUAAGUCCUAAAGGUGUUUUUAACUGUCCUUGAUUGUUCUUCCACUAAGUCUG
This 496-nucleotide long non-coding RNA is filed under the name Anser brachyrhynchus (Pink-footed goose). RNAcentral's name for it is "lncRNA (ENSABRG00000006826.1)". The record is from RNAcentral. Lineage: Eukaryota; Metazoa; Chordata; Aves; Anseriformes; Anatidae.